Molecule: non-coding RNA, 263 nt
Organism: Paramuricea clavata
Lineage: Eukaryota; Metazoa; Cnidaria; Anthozoa; Malacalcyonacea; Plexauridae
Source: the annotation of a GenBank genome assembly
CUCAAAAUGUUGACUAGCCUUUGACUCCGUGGCCAACGUAUAUGAAGCAGCUCUGCAUAAGAGUAAUUACAACGGCAAGCUUGAAUAUUCCCCUGAUAAACCUCCAACAACUACAGCCCAAAAACGUAAACGUCAAAGAAGCAUCAUCUGGUUCAUCCCUCCUUUUACCAAGAAUGUUAGUGAAUGCCCACUCCAGAAAAAGUGUUUAACGAAGGGUAUAGUCUACAAGGCAGUGAUAAAAACAAAGGAAGAUCGCGAAACGA